UACAGAGGGUGCAAGCGUUAAUCGGAAUUACUGGGCGUAAAGCGUGCGUAGACGGUUGCGUAAGUCAGAUGUGAAAGCCCCGGGCUCCAACCUGGGAAUUGCAUUUGAGACUGCGUAGCUAGGGUGCGGAAGAGGGAAGCGGAAUUCCGGUGUAGCGGUGAAAUGCGUAGAUAUCGGAAGGAACACCAGUGGCGAAAGCGGCUCCUGGUCCAGCACCGACGUUCAGGCACGAAAGCGUGGGGAGCAAACAGG
This 252-nucleotide ribosomal RNA is filed under the name uncultured bacterium. RNAcentral describes it as "partial 16S ribosomal RNA". It matches the Rfam family "Bacterial small subunit ribosomal RNA", at positions 524 to 776 of the family's 1533-position model. The record is from RNAcentral.